GUCCUCGUAGCUCAAUUGGAUAGAGCGUUGGCCUCCGAAGCCGAAGGUUACAAGUUCGACUCUUGUCGAGGACA
This 74-nucleotide transfer RNA is filed under the name bacterium. Its description in RNAcentral is "tRNA-Arg". It matches the Rfam family "tRNA". From Rfam's summary of the family: Transfer RNA (tRNA) molecules are approximately 80 nucleotides in length. RNAcentral also lists the same sequence under 2 other names. The record is from RNAcentral.